UACGAAGGGGGCAAGCGUUGUUCGGAAUUACUGGGCGUAAAGGGCGCGUAGGCGGCCGAUCAAGUCAGGCGUGAAAUUCCCGGGCUCAACCUGGGGGCUGCGCUUGAUACUGAUUGGCUUGAAUGCGGGAGAGGAUAGUGGAAUUCCCAGUGUAGAGGUGAAAUUCGUAGAUAUCGGGAGGAACACCAGUGGCGAAGGCGGCGAUCUGGGUCGAUACUGACGCUGAGGUGCGAAAGCGUGGGGAGCAAACAGG
This 253-nucleotide ribosomal RNA is filed under the name uncultured bacterium. Its description in RNAcentral is "partial 16S ribosomal RNA". It matches the Rfam family "Bacterial small subunit ribosomal RNA", at positions 524 to 776 of the family's 1533-position model. The record is from RNAcentral.